RNAcentral lists this ribosomal RNA (496 nucleotides) under uncultured bacterium. RNAcentral describes it as "partial 16S ribosomal RNA". It matches the Rfam family "Bacterial small subunit ribosomal RNA", at positions 28 to 507 of the family's 1533-position model. The record is from RNAcentral.
GAUGAACGCUGGCGGCGUGCCUAAUACAUGCAAGUCGAGCGAACAGACGAGGAGCUUGCUCCUCUGACGUUAGCGGCGGACGGGUGAGUAACACGUGGAUAACCUACCUAUAAGACUGGGAUAACUUCGGGAAACCGGAGCUAAUACCGGAUAAUAUAUUGAACCGCAUGGUUCAAUAGUGAAAGACGGUUUUGCUGUCACUUAUAGAUGGAUCCGCGCCGCAUUAGCUAGUUGGUAAGGUAACGGCUUACCAAGGCAACGAUGCGUAGCCGACCUGAGAGGGUGAUCGGCCACACUGGAACUGAGACACGGUCCAGACUCCUACGGGAGGCAGCAGUAGGGAAUCUUCCGCAAUGGGCGAAAGCCUGACGGAGCAACGCGCGUGAGUGAUGAAGGUCUUCGGAUCGUAAAACUCUGUUAUUAGGGAAGAACAAAUGUGUAAGUAACUAUGCACGUCUUGACGGUACCUAAUCAGAAAGCCACGGCUAACUACGUG